RNAcentral lists this transfer RNA (75 nucleotides) under Kriegella aquimaris. RNAcentral describes it as "tRNA_Thr_GGT". It matches the Rfam family "tRNA". From Rfam's summary of the family: Transfer RNA (tRNA) molecules are approximately 80 nucleotides in length. Their secondary structure includes four short double-helical elements and three loops (D, anti-codon, and T loops). Further hydrogen bonds mediate the characteristic L-shaped molecular structure. tRNAs have two regions of fundamental functional importance: the anti-codon, which is responsible for specific mRNA codon recognition, and the 3' end, to which the tRNAs corresponding amino acid is attached (by aminoacyl-tRNA synthetases). tRNAs cope with the degeneracy of the genetic code in two manners: having more than one tRNA (with a specific anti-codon) for a particular amino acid; and 'wobble' base-pairing, i.e. permitting non-standard base-pairing at the 3rd anti-codon position. Lineage: Bacteria; Pseudomonadati; Bacteroidota; Flavobacteriia; Flavobacteriales; Flavobacteriaceae. The record is from RNAcentral.
GCCGGCGUAGCUCAGGGGUAGAGCGUUUCCUUGGUAAGGAAGAGGUCAUGAGUUCAAAUCUCAUCGUUGGCUCAA